This 438-nucleotide ribosomal RNA is filed under the name uncultured bacterium. Its description in RNAcentral is "partial 16S ribosomal RNA". It matches the Rfam family "Bacterial small subunit ribosomal RNA", at positions 339 to 795 of the family's 1533-position model. The record is from RNAcentral.
CUACGGUGGCUGCAGUGAGGAAUAUUGCACAAUGGGGGGAACCCUGAUGCAGCAACGCCGCGUGGAGGAUGACGCAUUUCGGUGUGUAAACUCCUUUUAUAUGUCAAGAAAAUGACGGUAGCAUAUGAAUAAGCACCGGCUAACUCCGUGCCAGCAGCCGCGGUAAUACGGAGGGUGCAAGCGUUACUCGGAAUCACUGGGCGUAAAGGACGCGUAGGCGGGUUGGAAAGUCAGGUGUGAAAUCCUACAGCUUAACUGUAGAACUGCACUUGAAACUUCUAAUCUAGAGUAUGGGAGGGGGAGAUGGAAUUAGUGGUGUAGGGGUAAAAUCCGUAGAUAUCACUAGGAAUACCUAAAGCGAAGGCGAUCUCCUGGAACAUUACCGACGCUAAGGCGUGAAAGCGUGGGGAGCAAACAGGAUUAGAUACCCUUGUAGUC